RNAcentral lists this ribosomal RNA (362 nucleotides) under uncultured bacterium. RNAcentral's name for it is "bacterial SSU rRNA". It matches the Rfam family "Bacterial small subunit ribosomal RNA", at positions 8 to 349 of the family's 1533-position model. The record is from RNAcentral.
AGAGUUUGAUCCUGGCUCAGGAUGAACGCUAGCUACAGGCUUAACACAUGCAAGUCGAGGGGCAGCAUGGUCUUAGCUUGCUAAGGCUGAUGGCGACCGGCGCACGGGUGAGUAACACGUAUCCAACCUGCCGUCUACUCUUGGCCAGCCUUCUGAAAGGAAGAUUAAUCCAGGAUGGGAUCAUGAGUUCACAUGUCCGCAUGAUUAAAGGUAUUUUCCGGUAGACGAUGGGGAUGCGUUCAUUACGAUAGUAGGCGGGGUAACGGCCCACCUAGUCAACGGAUGGGAUAGGGGUUCUGGAGGAGGUAAGGUCCCCCCGANACUUGGAACUGAGACACCGGUCCAAACGUCCUACGGGAGGC